RNAcentral lists this ribosomal RNA (400 nucleotides) under uncultured bacterium. RNAcentral's name for it is "bacterial SSU rRNA". It matches the Rfam family "Bacterial small subunit ribosomal RNA", at positions 64 to 507 of the family's 1533-position model. The record is from RNAcentral.
GAGCGCGUGUAGCAAUACACGAGCGGCAGUACGGGAGAGUAACACGUGGGAACGUACCCUUCGGUUCGGAAUAACCCAGGGAAACUUGGGCUAAUACCGGAUACGUCCGUAAGGAGAAAGAUUUAUCGCUGAAGGAUCGGCCCGCGUCUGAUUAGCUAGUUGGUGGGGUAACGGCCCACCAAGGCGACGAUCAGUAGCUGGUCUGAGAGGAUGAUCAGCCUCACUGGGACUGAGACACGGCCCAAACUCCUACGGGAGGCAGCAGUGGGGAAUAUUGGACAAUGGGCGCAAGCCUGAUCCAGCCAUGCCGCGUGAGUGAUGAAGGCCCUAGGGUUGUAAAGCUCUUUUGUGCGGGAAGAUAAUGACGGUACCGCAAGAAUAAGCCCCGGCUAACUUCGUG